GGCGAGGGGUGUUGAAACGCAUGGAAGAGCAGGAAGAAACACGGACGAGCGCUGAUGAACUGCAACUGUGUGCGUGCAACAGCACCAAACGGCAUGUGACGACGGACAGUGUGUGGAUGUGUGUGUGUAAUUUUAGGCAGCGAAGAUGGAUCGAGGUUAUGUUUACAAAGUGAAAGAGUUUGAUGCGGAAGCGUCUUUGUGAUAAACAUGUAUUUUAUUUGCAUAAUUUCAGUGUUAAAGUUUGUAAUGUGAACUUAAAAGUAAUGACCAAUGGUGCUAUUCACUUGUGUGCUGUUGGCGAAUAUUGAAGCGUUAAAAUAUUGCAGCUUCCUAUGUUAGUUUGUUGUGCUUAGUGUGAAGCAAAAAUGUGUGCUAAAGUGUUAUAAAUUAGAAAAAUGUAUACGUAUCCGUCUAAUGUUUGGUUGUACCUAUCUAAUUUUCCAUAUUUUCGGGUGUCCUUAUCGUUUACCAGGAGAAAACGAUAGAUGGAGGUUAGAUACGUGCAGCUAUUUGCCUCCGCAGGAAGUGUUCUUCAGAAGUGUUCCAAGCUGUCCGAAGACACACAAAUCCGCAAUCCACAAUCCAAGCACACAAAUCCGAUUCACCUCGUAUGCACCCAGCGGAUUUCAUGCAAAGGAUAUUGGAAAGCCAUCAAAGAAGUGGGCAUGAUGGAAAGGACACUUUGAUUCUUUUUACUUUCAGAUUUCUUAUCCUUAUUUUUGUUUACACCAACCUUGGAUCGUCGGCGCGGGCCUUAUGGGAACUGCGCGGUUAGAGCAACAACCGGAUGAGCAUUUUGUUGCAGGCGGAAAUUGUCUCAAGUUUGGGAAUUGAAGAGAGUUACAGCACACUGUGAACAUCGUUGUAAACAAUCGAUGGUACACCGUGCAAGAAAAGUCCCAUCAAACAACACGUCUAAAGCUUCAUGCAUCCUGUUGUUGGCAUCCUGGCUGCUGAUAUCUGCAUCUAUUAUUUAAGUAUAACUGCCAAAUGCAAAAUCAUCUCCAGCUAUUUUUGCUUCAAAUGCAUCAAACUUUUGUUAAUUUUCGAUUUUUUCUAUUGCUAAACUCUGCGCAUUUCUUCUUAUACCCUUCAUAGGAUUCAGUAUUGUGGACUGCUCAUUUAAAAUCACCAUUAUCUGUGCGCUGCGUGCAUCUAUUUUCAUUAACAGCAUCCGACAACGAAGGCAGCAGCUUCCAGAAUGCUCUGUAGAAGUAAUUGAAAAGACUGCUUGAUUUGCUCCUGCUGCAGUCUGGUGUUCAUCGUCGGUGAUCAUCAUUAUUAGUGACGAAGGCAGCACAGGCAAAUUUAUCACAACAGGACCAGUUGCUCGUUCAGUCGUUAUGUACGUUAUGCGCUUGUCGAUGGCACUUAAUUACCACCAUCAACUAUCUUGCCUGGCGGACGGAUCUGGCUAGGAACACAGAUCCUCUAGGAGCCGCUAUCACCGAUGCAGAAGCACUGGUGGGUAAUUGUUGUCUUACAACAGCGGACAUCAUAUCACGCUGAUUCUUCGGAGCAUGAACUUCGACAAGCGAUGCAAUCGAUGGUACUGCAGAACCCGCCAAUGCCUGUUGUCUACCGAUCUUCAUGCCUGAUUCCUGCGGUAGAGCAUCAGCAACCGGUACCACUGAUGGCGCAGCAGUACUAGUUGACGGUUGCUGUCCAUGUUGCUGGCCUAACGGACGGAAUGGUGCAAGAACAUCAGCUGUUCAUCAACACGGACUGGCAUUCUUUGUUGACUCGCGCUGACCAGCCACUGAAACCACCGAAGGCACUGCACUUGUUGUCGGAAGUUGUCCAACAACACGGACCGGCAAUCUGGGGGGACGGAUAGCACGAGGAAUGGCAACCGGAACCACCGAUGGCACUGCACUUGUCGUCGGAAGUUGUCCAACAACACGGACUGGUACAUCUGACUGACGAAGCUACUUAUCACAUACCCGCGUUUUAUGUCCCCAUUCUUGGUGUUUCCGGGUUACUCGCCAUCGCGCUGUAGUCGGAUCAUACUGCACCUGUCCUGCCUCGAUUAAUGCCUCCCCAAAGACAAAAUUAGAGCACGCGUUCCUAUUCCUCAUCCUCCGGCGCUGUCUGGAGAAUGUGGGAGUCACUGCUCUAUAAAAACCACCGGACUACCACAAACUGGAAACAGCGGAAAACCCCGUGGGUCACCGGCCACCAUGCUAAAUUGAAGCAAAGUUGAACUAAUCUGCCGCGUCGUGUAUCAGAUUGCAACUGCUAAUAAUUUCGUCGUCUGAGGCGGACUGUUAUGGAGGUACCAAAUCUUCAGUGAUGAUGAAUGCGUUCACGCUUCUACGAGCCGGUAAUUGGCGGUAUCCAGAUUAUCAUCGUACUGUUAGCUUACCUAAGCUACCGAAAUUAGCGACAGUGUAAAAUCUGUGCUGUAAGAAUUACGAAUGGUCGUGGUAGACGCGUUAGGAUUGCAAGGCGAUAAUUGCGCUCUGAAAAUGCUAGCACAGAUGUUUGGGCCACAGAGGUGACGUUCCGAGAUUGUAAAAACAUGCCGGCCCACAGUUUCAGAUAAGCCGUUCUCAUCAUAGCCGUACCAUGUACGGUCGGCUAGUUACACUUCAUCACGAAGGACAAUCACAUCUAGGUGACGGAAUGCUGCCAAAACGAUGAAGCUGGCUUAGUCCUCGAUGACGACGCAACUCCUGUACGUUCGUCGUCAUACUAUCAUUUUAACUGAAGGCAUGUUUGUUUAGGCGGCUACAACAAAUUGUUUGAACAUGUUCAAUGAAACAAACAUGUUGUUUUGGCUUCUCACAAUUAUUGAUGAAUGCUGGAAAUCUCCGUGAUAGCCGUUUUAUUGCGCUGAAUUAGGUUUGUAUGAAAAAUAGUGUAUUUUUAGAAUAUUUAAUUAUCAAUAAAAUAACGGUCAAUUUGAAA
Anopheles arabiensis is the source of this 2910-nucleotide long non-coding RNA. RefSeq lists it as uncharacterized. The record is from RefSeq and is a predicted model, not a curated record. Lineage: Eukaryota; Metazoa; Arthropoda; Insecta; Diptera; Culicidae. The transcript has 11 exons.